Molecule: small nuclear RNA, 165 nt
Organism: Rhineura floridana
Lineage: Eukaryota; Metazoa; Chordata; Lepidosauria; Squamata; Rhineuridae
Product: U1 spliceosomal RNA
Exons: 1
Source: RefSeq, a predicted model, not a curated record
AUACUUACCUGCAAGGGAGAUACCUUGAUCCUGAAGGAGGUUUUCCCAGGUGAGGCUCAUCCAUUGCACUCUGGGUGUGCUGACCUCUGCAAUUUCCUCAAAUGUGGGAAACUCAACUGCAUAAAAUGAGAUUUGUUUAUUCUUUCGCUUUUCAGCUAAGGUGAU